RNAcentral lists this ribosomal RNA (366 nucleotides) under Triticum aestivum (bread wheat). Its description in RNAcentral is "partial small subunit ribosomal RNA". Lineage: Eukaryota; Viridiplantae; Streptophyta; Magnoliopsida; Poales; Poaceae. The record is from RNAcentral.
AUGCCGUUCAAGCACCAGCUCCUCCUCUCGACCGCCGUCCUGCUCGUCGCACUUGCCGCAGGGUCGGCCAGCUUCAGGGACCGAUGCGUUCCAGGGCGGGAGAUCACAUACGAGUCGCUUAACGCCCGCCGCGAGUACGCGGUCAGACAAACAUGCGGCUACUACCUCUCCGCCGAGAGGCAGAAGAGGCGGUGCUGCGACGAGCUGUCCAAGGUCCCGGAGCUGUGCUGGUGCGAGGUGCUGCGCAUCCUCAUGGACAGGAGAGUGACUAAGGAGGGCGUGGUCAAGGGCAGCCUCCUUCAGGACAUGUCCAGAUGCAAAAAGCUGACGAGGGAGUUCAUCGCGGGCAUCGUCGGCCGGGAGUAG